This is an unclassified non-coding RNA of Fukomys damarensis (Damara mole-rat), 294 nucleotides long. Its record names the gene 7SK. It matches the Rfam family "7SK RNA". From Rfam's summary of the family: 7SK was discovered as an abundant small nuclear RNA in the mid-70s but a possible function has only recently been suggested. Two independent studies have found that 7SK RNA binds the CDK9/cyclin T complex (known as elongation factor P-TEFb). P-TEFb activates transcription by phosphorylating the C-terminal domain of RNA polymerase II. Lineage: Eukaryota; Metazoa; Chordata; Mammalia; Rodentia; Bathyergidae. The record is from Ensembl.
GGAUGUGAGGGAUCUGCUGUGACUGCGACCUCCGUCACUCCUUUGAUCUCGGGUUGAUUCGGCCAAUUUGGCUGGCUGGACAGGUAUCCCCUUCCUCCCUCACUGCUCCAUGUUUGUACCUCCUGAAGCUGCAAAUUCGGUCAGAGAGGGUGACCGCCCCCAAUAGAAAAGGAUCAUUUUCUCAGUCAAGGCUAUAUGAGUAGCUAUGCUCCUCUGCGAGAACCUCCAAACUAGCUCUCAAGUUUCAAAGAUCAAAUGUAGUUGGUGCCUACCAUAUUGGGCAGUGCCAAUUAU